GUCUCUUCAGCUCUCUUUCAUCCUAUUGAUAAAUAAAUAAAAAUACAUAAAUACAUAAGAGACUAUGACCAUCAUGAUAGAAUACUAGUGCAGCUGGCAAGCUGCUGUCUUUUAAUAAUAAUUUGCUUUUCAAAAGAUAAAUGGGAUUUGACACAGUAAUUUCAAUUAAAAAUAUAAGAAAAAGACAGCAUCACUCCCAUUCUCUGCCAUUCACAUUCUACUCCUUUUUCUGCAGAUUGAACCAUUUAUAAUUUCCAGUUUUCCCCCUCAAAGUUCAUUUCUCACACUCUUCUGUCUUUUAAAAACAAAACUUGAACUCCUUUUCUUAAGUGCAUAAAUUUUUGGAAUAAUAUUUUUGCCCUAGUAUUACCAAGACAACAGGGCUUCCUGUUACAAUGUCUUAUAUACAAACAUACACCGACAGCCAAUAGGGUGGGUUGAGAAAAAUUCUAAAGUGAAGUUUCAUUGUGAGAUACUCAUCUUAGACAGGGAACUGUUACAUAUAGGAGAAGAAGA
Molecule: unclassified non-coding RNA, 516 nt
Filed under: Hevea brasiliensis (rubber tree)
Lineage: Eukaryota; Viridiplantae; Streptophyta; Magnoliopsida; Malpighiales; Euphorbiaceae
Source: RNAcentral